Glycine soja is the source of this 643-nucleotide long non-coding RNA. RefSeq lists it as uncharacterized. The transcript has 3 exons. NCBI's taxonomy places the organism in Eukaryota, Viridiplantae, Streptophyta, Magnoliopsida, Fabales, Fabaceae. The record is from RefSeq and is a predicted model, not a curated record.
CGCUUCUCCCUCUUCUCGCGUCCACUCUCACGCUCUCAAUCUUCGAGUAGGCGCUUCAACUCCUCACUCUCACUUACAACUCUCCACGGUGGGGACGAGAUUAUGAAAGGAGAGGUCACAAAAGUGGAUGUACCCAGUUAAGCAAUACAUGAUGAUCUUAAAAGGGUAUACAAAGAAUCUACACCGUCCUGAAGCCUCCAUUAUUGAAAGGUAUAUUGCAGAAGAAGCUAUUGAGUUUUGUUCAAAGUACAUUGAAAAGGAAAAACCUAUUGUGCUUCCUGAGUCUCAGCAUGACGAGAGAGUGGGAGGUUGCUACUGUGUUUGUGGUGGAGCAUCUGUUGCUAGCUAAGGCUGCUGAAACUGCUCUAGCUGCUGGACCUACCUUGGCAUGCAAUUUUUUUUAAUGAAUGAUCUAUUGAUGGGAAGUCGAAUGAGUUUGGUUGGUUUGGCAACACUCUGUAGAACUUGUAGAGACCUGUUAUUAAAGCUAGAAAACCCAAUGAUUUGUUUGAUUUUUUUGGGUUCUGUGAGUGCCUAGGAGGUUCUGUAACGACCCGCCUCGUCGCUACGGUAUCCACACUCCAAUAUUCGAUAAUUUCAAUUUUUUUAUAAAAAGAACUCCCUUAAUUUUUGCUUAUGAAAA